AUAUAUAUCAACCUUCUCUUUUUGAGUGGGUUUGGAUGUGGGGGUUUUGCUGGCCUCUUAAAGGGUUCAGCUCCUCUGAAAUGCAUUAGCAGAACGACCUGUUCAUUGGUGUGAUAACUAUCUACGCUAUUGAAUGUGAGGGGCAGUUCAGCUUUCUAACUGUCCUUGGACAACUUAUCAUUA
This 183-nucleotide unclassified non-coding RNA is filed under the name Cortinarius alborufescens. RNAcentral's name for it is "partial internal transcribed spacer 2". The record is from RNAcentral. Lineage: Eukaryota; Fungi; Basidiomycota; Agaricomycetes; Agaricales; Cortinariaceae.